CUUCGGACUUAGUGGCGCACGGGUGCGUAACACGUAUGCAACCUACCUUACAUUGGGGGAUAGCCUUUCGAAAGGGAGAUUAAUACCGCAUAAGACAGUAGUCUGGCAUCAGACAGCUGUUAAAGAUUUAUCGAUGUAAGCUGGGCAUGCGACCAAUUAGUUAGUUGGCGAGGUAAUGGCUCACCAAGACUAUGAUUGGUAGGGGAACUGAGAGGUCAAUCCCCCACACUGGCACUGAGAUACGGGCCAGACUCCUACGGGAGGCAGCAGUAGGGAAUAUUGGGCAAUGGACGCAAGUCUGACCCAGCCAUGCCGCGUGCAGGAAGAAGGCGUUAUGCGUUGUAAACUGCUUUUAUACAGGAAGAAACGACUCUUGCGAGAGGCAUUGACGGUACUGUAUGAAUAAGCACCGGCUAACUCCGUGCCAGCAGCCGCGGUAAUACGGAGGGUGCAAGCGUUGUCCGGAUUUAUUGGGUUUAAAGGGUGCGCAGGUGGUUUAUUAAGUCAGUGGUGAAAGACGGUCGCUCAACGAUUGCAGUGCCAUUGAAACUGGUAGACUUGAGUAAAGUAGAGGUGGGCGGAAUUGAUAGUGUAGCGGUGAAAUGCAUAGAUAUUAUCAAGAACUCCAAUUGCGUAGGCAGCUCACUUGGCUUUUACUGACACUCAUGCACGAAAGUGUGGGUAUCAAACAGGAUUAGAUACCCUGGUAGUCC
Molecule: ribosomal RNA, 713 nt
Filed under: uncultured bacterium
Lineage: Bacteria
Description: bacterial SSU rRNA
Rfam family: Bacterial small subunit ribosomal RNA
Source: RNAcentral